This 301-nucleotide ribosomal RNA is filed under the name uncultured bacterium. RNAcentral's name for it is "partial 16S ribosomal RNA". It matches the Rfam family "Bacterial small subunit ribosomal RNA", at positions 509 to 807 of the family's 1533-position model. The record is from RNAcentral.
CAGCCGCCGCGGGAAUACGUAGGGUGCAAGCGUUAAUCGGAAUUACUGGGCGUAAAGCGUGCGCAGGCGGUUAUAUAAGACAGAUGUGAAAUCCCCGGGCUUAACCUGGGAACUGCAUUUGUGACUGUAUAGCUAGAGUACGGCAGAGGGGGAUGGAAUUCCGCGUGUAGCAGUGAAAUGCGUAGAUAUGCGGAGGAACACCGAUGGCGAAGGCAAUCCCCUGGGCCUGUACUGACGCUCAUGCACGAAAGCGUGGGGAGCAAACAGGAUUAGAUACCCGGGUAGUCCCUGUCUCUUAUAC